RNAcentral lists this long non-coding RNA (1019 nucleotides) under Equus asinus (donkey). Its description in RNAcentral is "lncRNA (ENSEASG00005025730.1)". Lineage: Eukaryota; Metazoa; Chordata; Mammalia; Perissodactyla; Equidae. The record is from RNAcentral.
CCGCCCCCGGCCCCCUCCCCCCGCGCCCUCAGCCCUGCCCGCGCCGCUGGGGGUCUGGGAGCACGCGAGGGAGGCGGGAGCGCGGCCGGGCCGGACCCGGGGUUCCCCCCGCCGAUUUUUUUUAUUACUUAUUAGCAACCACGCUCUCUGCUCUUGGGACGACCCCUCGCCUUUGAACGUGGCCGGCCCUGUUAUUACCGGUGCUCUGCCGGGGCCUGAGGUUGCUCCCCUGCGCCGAGCGCCGCCGUGGACUGAAGGACAAUCUUUUUCCCCGGCAGCCCUUCGCGCCGACCAGAGUUCGCUCGGGAUGCUCCCUCCCCACCGCCGGGAACCGCCGAGGCCCGAGGAGCCUGCAGCCUUGCGCGGGGGCAGUGGGGCCUGGUACGCUGAUGUCUGUGCCCUGUACGGGUAGGGACGUCGAGGCCAAGAGCGACCGAGCAGCUCCGCGUUGCUGGGGAAGGAACCCAGGGACGCACAACCAGUGAUUUCUAAUCUCUGAAACCAGUGAUUUCCAACUUGUUCGGCCAAGAAACUCUCAGACGUGAAAUCACGUUGCCGCUUAGUGGGUAAGAGGAAAGGCGCUGUGCCCACAGAUAGCGUGUUUGGUUCCGAUCCAGCCUCCCGCACGUACUAGCUGGGUGGCCUCGGACGAGGACUCCACCUCUCCAGAAGCCCAGAGCCCCCCCGCCGAAUGGAGCGUCUACACUAACAUCAUUCCCGACAAGCUAUGGAGGAUUUGUGGAGUUCCAACUCUCCUCUGAACUACUAGGCCCUUUCUCCCCAACUUUUCUCUCUCCCUCAGUUAAUGCUACUGACUUUUCGGAAUAACUGUGGACUCCAAAAAUGGGCCCUAUUUUAGAAACAUUCACAAUGAUGCCUCUCUCCAAGCCAAACACCCCAGCUUCAACCAGCUUAUCAUUCUCCUCCAUGAAAGGGUGGAGCUGAAAAACCCCUGCCGAUAGACCAAGUCGACUUCCUUUGUUGGACAGAGUUACAAUAAAUUUAAACUGUCAAAACUG